Molecule: ribosomal RNA, 493 nt
Filed under: Aspergillus fumigatus
Lineage: Eukaryota; Fungi; Ascomycota; Eurotiomycetes; Eurotiales; Aspergillaceae
Description: eukaryotic LSU rRNA
Rfam family: 5.8S ribosomal RNA (bases 138-291)
Source: RNAcentral
UUGUUGCUUCGGCGGGCCCGCCGUUUCGACGGCCGCCGAGGGAGGCCUUGCGCCCCCGGGCCCGCGCCCGCCGAAGACCCCAACAUGAACGCUGUUCUGAAAGUAUGCAGUCUGAGUUGAUUAUCGUAAUCAGUUAAAACUUUCAACAACGGAUCUCUUGGUUCCGGCAUCGAUGAAGAACGCAGCGAAAUGCGAUAAGUAAUGUGAAUUGCAGAAUUCAGUGAAUCAUCGAGUCUUUGAACGCACAUUGCGCCCCCUGGUAUUCCGGGGGGCAUGCCUGUCCGAGCGUCAUUGCUGCCCUCAAGCACGGCUUGUGUGUUGGGCCCCCGUCCCCCUCUCCCGGGGGACGGGCCCGAAAGGCAGCGGCGGCACCGCGUCCGGUCCUCGAGCGUAUGGGGCUUUGUCACCUGCUCUGUAGGCCCGGCCGGCGCCAGCCGACACCCAACUUUUAUUUUUCUAAGGUUGACCUCGGAUCAGGUAGGGAUACCCGCUG